AGUUCGGAUUGAAGGCUGAAAUUCGCCUUCAUGAAGCUGGAAUUGCUAGUAAUGGCAGGUCAGCAUACUGCCGUGAAUACGCUCCCGGGCCUUGUACACACCGCCCGUCACACCAUGAGAGUUGGGAAUACCCGAAGCCUGUGAGCUAACUUAUAGAGGCAGCAGUCGAAGGUAGAAUCAAUGAUUGGGGUGAAGUCGUAACAAGGUAAC
This 210-nucleotide ribosomal RNA is filed under the name uncultured bacterium. RNAcentral's name for it is "partial 16S ribosomal RNA". It matches the Rfam family "Bacterial small subunit ribosomal RNA", at positions 1290 to 1500 of the family's 1533-position model. The record is from RNAcentral.